CGGAGCUUAACGGCCUAUUUUAGUCCUGCUAAGUCUUAAAAUCUGUAGUUCAACUCUAUAGAAGCUUCGA
Molecule: transfer RNA, 70 nt
Filed under: Zoroaster ophiactis
Lineage: Eukaryota; Metazoa; Echinodermata; Asteroidea; Forcipulatida; Zoroasteridae
Description: tRNA-Ser
Source: RNAcentral